Molecule: ribosomal RNA, 1160 nt
Filed under: Pseudomonas aeruginosa
Lineage: Bacteria; Pseudomonadati; Pseudomonadota; Gammaproteobacteria; Pseudomonadales; Pseudomonadaceae
Description: bacterial SSU rRNA
Rfam family: Bacterial small subunit ribosomal RNA
Source: RNAcentral
UGCAAGUCGAGCGGAUGAAGGGAGCUUGCUCCUGGAUUCAGCGGCGGACGGGUGAGUAAUGCCUAGGAAUCUGCCUGGUAGUGGGGGAUAACGUCCGGAAACGGGCGCUAAUACCGCAUACGUCCUGAGGGAGAAAGUGGGGGAUCUUCGGACCUCACGCUAUCAGAUGAGCCUAGGUCGGAUUAGCUAGUUGGUGGGGUAAAGGCCUACCAAGGCGACGAUCCGUAACUGGUCUGAGAGGAUGAUCAGUCACACUGGAACUGAGACACGGUCCAGACUCCUACGGGAGGCAGCAGUGGGGAAUAUUGGACAAUGGGCGAAAGCCUGAUCCAGCCAUGCCGCGUGUGUGAAGAAGGUCUUCGGAUUGUAAAGCACUUUAAGUUGGGAGGAAGGGCAGUAAGUUAAUACCUUGCUGUUUUGACGUUACCAACAGAAUAAGCACCGGCUAACUUCGUGCCAGCAGCCGCGGUAAUACGAAGGGUGCAAGCGUUAAUCGGAAUUACUGGGCGUAAAGCGCGCGUAGGUGGUUCAGCAAGUUGGAUGUGAAAUCCCCGGGCUCAACCUGGGAACUGCAUCCAAAACUACUGAGCUAGAGUACGGUAGAGGGUGGUGGAAUUUCCUGUGUAGCGGUGAAAUGCGUAGAUAUAGGAAGGAACACCAGUGGCGAAGGCGACCACCUGGACUGAUACUGACACUGAGGUGCGAAAGCGUGGGGAGCAAACAGGAUUAGAUACCCUGGUAGUCCACGCCGUAAACGAUGUCGACUAGCCGUUGGGAUCCUUGAGAUCUUAGUGGCGCAGCUAACGCGAUAAGUCGACCGCCUGGGGGAGUACGGCCGCAAGGUUAAAACUCAAAUGAAUUGACGGGGGCCCGCACAAGCGGGGGAGCAUGUGGGUUAAUUCGAAGCAACGCGAAGAACCUUACCUGGCCUUGACUGCUGAGAACUUUCCAGAGAUGGAUUGGUGCCUUCGGGAACUCAGACCAGGGGGUGGAUGGCUGUCGCAGCUCGGGCCGGGAAAGGUGGGUAAGUCCCGAACGAAGGAACCCUGGCCUAAGUACCACCCCCGGGGGGCACCUAAGAAAUGCCGGGAAACCGAAGAAGGGGGGAAAGCCUAACUCCUUGCCCUUAUGCCAGGUUCCCCGGUAAAGUGCGAGAAAGG